This 726-nucleotide long non-coding RNA is filed under the name Betta splendens (Siamese fighting fish). RNAcentral describes it as "lncRNA (ENSBSLG00000003662.1)". The record is from RNAcentral. Lineage: Eukaryota; Metazoa; Chordata; Actinopteri; Anabantiformes; Osphronemidae.
GCUACAGCUUCUCGUUUUUUGUGAAAAAGAUGAUACAGUAACUUCACUACUGUAGAACUUAUUUAUCUUUCUCUGUGUAACAGCUAUUAGUGAAGUCCCAAGGUCUAUUUGGAAGCAGAAACACAACUGUCCUGGGCCUGACCGGAGGAGAGUUUGGCUUCGGCUGCUGCCCUCAGCACGUUGGCAGAUCCUCAGACGCCGUCGUCUCUCCCUCCAUCGUCUUCUCACAUGCGAGGCCGAGCCAAGACGUGCUUCUGUCAACCUCCACAGCUCCGUGCCAUCAGCUGUGGGCCUCCCACUCUGACUACAGCCGACAGGGCCUUCCUCCAUCCGUUUAGGCUCGUUGGACAUAGUCGUUGUGAGGUUUUGGGGCUCAGAUGGAAGACACAUAGCACAGAGGUGCUGAAGAAGACGCGUUGUAAUCACAAAGAUGGAGGGAUGAUGUCAAUCACAGCAUCUACAGCGCAUGGAGGCCUCAAUGCAGCCAGAAUUGAACGAUCCUCGGUGUCAGAACAGGAGCCACCCUGCUUCUGCUUAGUCUGGAAACCAUUUCCUUUGCAGUCCGAUGGUCCCGACGUUGAUCUUGAGGACAGUCACUGGUGGAGUUCGUAUAUUUAUCGAAGCGCCAUCUCUCAUCUGAAUCCACGCCGUUUUCUUCACAAAAUACGCGCGCUCUCCCAGAGGCCCGUGCAUCAGGCCCGCGGGACGCACUGUGACAGACUCUAA